RNAcentral lists this ribosomal RNA (508 nucleotides) under uncultured bacterium. Its description in RNAcentral is "partial 16S ribosomal RNA". It matches the Rfam family "Bacterial small subunit ribosomal RNA", at positions 28 to 523 of the family's 1533-position model. The record is from RNAcentral.
GAUGAACGCUAGCUACAGGCUUAACACAUGCAAGUCGAGGGGAAACGAUAGAGAAAGCUUGCUUUUUCUAGGCGUCGACCGGCGCACGGGUGAGUAACGCGUAUCCAACCUGCCCACCACUUGGGGAUAACCUUGCGAAAGUAAGACUAAUACCCAAUGAUAUCUCUAGAAGACAUCUGAAAGGGAUUAAAGAUUUAUCGGUGAUGGAUGGGGAUGCGUCUGAUUAGCUUGUUGGCGGGGUAACGGCCCACCAAGGCUACGAUCAGUAGGGGUUCUGAGAGGAAGGUCCCCCACAUUGGAAAUGAGACACGGUCCAAACUCCUACGGGAGGCAGCAGUGAGGAAUAUUGGUCAAUGGACGAGAGUCUGAACCAGCCAAGUAGCGUGCAGGAUGACGGCCCUAUGGGUUGUAAACUGCUUUUAUAAGGGAAUAGAGUGAGUCUCGUGAGACUUUUUGCAUGUACCUUAUGAAUAAGGACCGGCUAAUUCCGUGCCAGCCGCCGCGGUAA